This 99-nucleotide small nuclear RNA is filed under the name Neogale vison (American mink). Lineage: Eukaryota; Metazoa; Chordata; Mammalia; Carnivora; Mustelidae. The record is from RNAcentral.
CUCCUUCAGCAGCAGAUACAGUACACUGGAACAAUACAGAGGUCAGCACGGCCCCUGUGCAAGGAUGGUAGGCAAAUUCAUGAAGUGUUGCAUUGUUUU